CAGCAGCCGCGGUAAUACAGAGGAUGCAAGCGUUAUCCGGAAUGAUUGGGCGUAAAGCGUCUGUAGGUGGCUUUUCAAGUCCGCCGUCAAAUCCCAGGGCUCAACCCUGGACAGGCGGUGGAAACUACCAAGCUGGAGUACGGUAGGGGCAGAGGGAAUUUCCGGUGGAGCGGUGGAAUGCGUUGAGAUCGGAAAGAGCACCAACGGCGAAAGCACUCUGCUGGGCCGACACUGACACUGAGAGACGAAAGCUAGGGGAGCAAAUGGGAUUAGAGACCCCCGUAGUCCCUGUCUCUUAUAC
Molecule: ribosomal RNA, 301 nt
Filed under: uncultured bacterium
Lineage: Bacteria
Description: partial 16S ribosomal RNA
Rfam family: Bacterial small subunit ribosomal RNA
Source: RNAcentral